This 85-nucleotide transfer RNA is filed under the name Felis catus (domestic cat). It matches the Rfam family "tRNA". Rfam says of the family: Transfer RNA (tRNA) molecules are approximately 80 nucleotides in length. Their secondary structure includes four short double-helical elements and three loops (D, anti-codon, and T loops). The record is from Rfam by way of RNAcentral. RNAcentral also lists the same sequence under 2 other names. Lineage: Eukaryota; Metazoa; Chordata; Mammalia; Carnivora; Felidae.
GCCUGGGUGGCUCAGUCGGUUAAGCGUCUGACUUCAGCUCAGGUCACGAUCUCGCGGUCCGUGAGUUCGAACCCCACGUCGGGCU